RNAcentral lists this long non-coding RNA (278 nucleotides) under Lathyrus oleraceus (garden pea). Its description in RNAcentral is "Pisum sativum (pea) long non-coding RNA (PSAT_LNC017741)". The record is from RNAcentral. Lineage: Eukaryota; Viridiplantae; Streptophyta; Magnoliopsida; Fabales; Fabaceae.
UUUUCAGAACCAAAGCACUUAAAGAUUUCAUCCACAAUGAUAUUCACACGAUUCUGCCAAAAUAUCCUUGUCAAUGUCUUUGAACUCGUUGAAGGAGCUAGAAACUCCAAGAUUUCAUCUGCAAUAAUCUUCACUCGAUCUUACCAAAAUUUCCUUGGAUAAGAAACUCUUUUCUCUUCAUUGGAUGUCAAUCUUUAGAAAAUGCAAUCACAUUCUGAUUCUUCAAAUUGAAAAACAACAAUCAUCACAAGAACAUUAGAACACCUAACGAAUCCUUU